This 3154-nucleotide ribosomal RNA is filed under the name Triticum aestivum (bread wheat). Its description in RNAcentral is "partial small subunit ribosomal RNA". Lineage: Eukaryota; Viridiplantae; Streptophyta; Magnoliopsida; Poales; Poaceae. The record is from RNAcentral.
UUUCUCUCGCUCACUUCUUUUUGUAUUUUUUUAUUUUUAUUCGAGGCGGAGACGGAGAGAGGAGGGAGCGCGAGCUAAGUGUGGCGUGGAGCGUCGCCAAGGAGGAGGAGGAGGGCCGACGAAGGAGGAGUUAGGGGGGUUAGGCGGCCGGCUCCUUAAGCGGGCACGCGGUCCCGAGGGCCUACUGGGGGCGGGGCUGGGCGGCGAGGGGGACGACGACGAAGCGGAGGAGCGAGUUGGGGGGGCCUCGGCGGCGGCGGGCGAUCAGGGAGCGGCCCGCUCGUCUUCUAGGCCAAAACCGGGGGCGGAGGCGGCGGCGGCGGCGGCGGCAGCAGAAAGACGCCUCUCGACUAGCGCCCACCCCUCGCGCGGCUCGAGCUCCAGUCACGCGGCUCGGAAGAGACUAAAGACCUAAAGGGGAGAGAACAAGUAGCUGCGCCCGCCAAAAGUCCUCCCCUUUAGCCCGGCGCUAGGGCUGGAAUAGAGGACCUGGCUAAAAUAGUAAUAGAACGAAACGGCCGACGAAAGACAACCUAACAAUAGCUUCGGCGCAACUAGAACAACGCUAAAUACUCGGCGACUGCUGCGAGAUAAAACAGGCAGACGGUCCGAGGUUUUGACUUCUUUAACCAACAUACACCAUCGAACACCGUCGUUUUUCCUUACGGGAAAGGGGGGAAGAAAGAACGAGACAUCUUUACUAAACGGGGUACUUGUAUUUCCUCGUUUCGGCGUCGGAACGGACGAUUCCAACGAAGUAGUAGCAACUACGGCGGAAAGCCCUGUUGUGGCGGGCAAGCAAGGGAGCAAAAGAGUGACCUGCUCCGAAAGAACAACCUAAUAAUCAUAAUAAUGAUAAUAUCAGCACGUUGAAAAGGCGGUAAAAAGGAGCACUCCGCCGGUGAUUGAGACGUCCUUAUUAUUAUCAGAACGUUGAAAAGGUGGUAAUAAAGAGGACAACUGCGUCGGUGAUUGGGACGUCCUUUUGUCCCAACGGUCUAUGUCAAUGGGUAUAGAGAACAAUUAUUAGGCACAAAACAAUAAUGGUCAAAUCUAUAUAGAAAAAAAUCGCCUGUCGUCAUCCACUCCGGGAGUAAAGCGUUAGGUGUGGCUCGUGCAGUCGGCAAGCAUAGUCUCUUUAAUUCCACCUAUAGCGGACGUCAAUCAAGCGAGAGGGACUUGCCGGAGAGCCCGUAUUAGCCGUCAAUUCUGCGUUAGGUGAUAAAAUUCCGACGAUGUCUUUCGCAGACUAACCUAAUACCCUGACAAGGUCGAAAAGAACAAAAGUAUUGCACACUACCCUCAUUAGUAUAACCCAACAAGUUAGUCGGAAACUAAACUAGAACGUACAAUAAUCCAACAACUAAACCAACGAAUCUGACUAUUAUUCAACACGAUUAUUAUAGAAUAUUACACCAUCACCAGGGUCCUCCCCCUCCUAACGCAUGAUUAGACAACCAAAAGAGGCUAGACAGCAUUAGCACUGAUCACAUAGCUUGUGUAAAUCACUCCCACGAGGAUUGCACUGCCGAGCCUAGUAAGUAAAUACAGCUCAGAGAGUGGUCAGGAACUGAAACAACGUCGGCGCGUUUUAAUCGGCACAUAGCGCGUAAAGGACAAGAAGAAAACCACAGGUAAGGGAAUACGAUUUUAGUGACUUAGAUGAACCAUCCCCGUCACGAAAACUGUCUCUUAAACUCGGGGUGCCUACUCGUACACACUCUUUCUAGUUUUAAAGGUGACCCGGAUGCUGGAAAAGGUACUGGGGAAACGGCGAGGGUUGUCGAUGAUGCCUGUAGGAUUACCAAUGUCACUGUCGUCGAUAACACUGAUGUUAAUACGAUCUCUACGUAGCGUAGGGCUACUCUGUAUAAACGUAAGGAGGCGUGAAUGCACACUAUACAUGUUGGGUGUUCAUCCUUUACAACCGCCCGUCCUCGUACUCCGUCAGAUGCAUCUAGGCAGAUCAAGGAGAAGUAUGGGACUCUCACUGCUAACAAAACUUUACCUCCUUCUUCAUCCCUUCUCUAAAAUGGGGUACCAGGGUCAAGGGGUACAGGGAUUUUAAUUACCACUUUAAGGUAGUGAGCUGCUUCGGUGGUACCUGGUACUUUCCGACAGUCUGUCCAACUCCGAGAUACUUGAUUGACUCUUGUUCCACUUUCCACUACCGUUAACAGUCAAGGCACGUGAUAGUCUAGUCGACAUGGUUUGAGGCCUGGUGGUACUCAAACACUCCCUCGUCUAUUAAUCGGUCGAAUUUUCAUUGGCCCUUCGGAUACUACCUAUGCAGGGGUACCGUAUACUACUCAUAGACCUCUUUCAUAGUGCUUUACCACUUACCCCACUGGUACACUGAAAUGUCCGACGACGACUGUUCAUGCCUCACUUCUAAAAGCAGUACUGGAGCAAGUUCCUAUGCACGAUGUAGCUCUAGGUUGGGUUCCAAGUCUUCAGGUUGUUCCACCACGACAACUCGAAAACCCGCCUCCAAGUGAUGUUGAGCUAUAAAGGUGUCUUGCUGCGAGGCUCCAACGUAGUGUGCCGCUUCUUCUCCUCUACCACCGGGAAGAGCGUCGUGGUGGUAACUACUCCGAGAGAAGGGGGAGGAGCCGCGCACAUGAGACUGCCGCAAGGCCGCACGUUUCGUGAGAACGAAGAGGUGGCUCUACCUACCGGGGCCCCGUUGCGCGAGGACCAGCAGGACCCUCCCCGGCAGCACCGCACGCGAGCGAGACUGUCCUCCUCUCUUUUCUUUUUUCCGCAAUACCAACAGACUCUAAUAUAAUAUCUAUGUACCUUACCUUCCUUAUUACUUGUACGCUGGACAGGGCAUAUAUCAAAACCCAACGUAACGUCCGAGACAAUACAUAAAUGUAUGUUUUAAAACGGCCUUACUCCGAUGUAUGUCAAUUAGUAAGUAAACCUUAUGUUUACUAUAACUACCACUAUGAUGAUUAUUAUUGACCCACCUCCGUCACAAUUUCUUAGACAACUCAUAAACGCUACAAGAAAAAUCUUACCUAGACAAACUCCACAGAAACUAAACCAAGCUCUUCUCUCUCAACGAGCCAAUCAAAAAAAAAACACACACUCUUUACAACGAGCCAAUCUUUAAAAGAAAACCUCCAACACUUCGCAGACAAAAAAAAAA